CCAAACAGGAAGCGCCCAGGCAAAUCUUCCGGUUGAGAACUCCUUCCCAGGAUCCAGUGCAACUUUUUCUUCUUGGGCACCCAGCGAAGCGAAUCAACUUACUCCUCCAGAGGUUCCUUGGGAUUGCCAGAUAAAUGAAGUGAAGCUCCCUGAGGUGAAGUGGGUAAAGUAAGCAGGACCUAAACUAGGAAACAGGUCUCAAAUUAUGCUGUCUGCAAUGAGGGGUGUUGUUGGCUGGAAUACUCUACCACUUCCUUAGCACAGGCUCCGGACGUGCAGGCUCAGCGGCCAUGGCUCACGGGCCCAGCCGCUCCGCGGCAUGUGGGAUCUUCCCGAACCGGGGCACGAACCCGUGUUCCCUGCAUCGGCAGGCAGACUCUCAACCACUGCGCCACCAGGGAAGCCCCUACCGGCAUUUUUUUAAAUGAAGCUGUGUUUACUAUCAAGUGGAGAAACCACCGACAAAAGCCGUCUCCUAACAGAAAAAGAAAGUGACCCUUAGCAUGGUCAAGCAACUUUCCCAGGAUAACAUGGCUACUGGACAAUGGAGCAAGAUUUUGGCCUGACCUCCCACACUAUUAACCACUCUGCCACGGGAGCAGGAAAAUGGGUACUCCACUCACAUGCUGUGCUCUAAGCAUAUCAGUUGGUAGACUCUUUCUGGAAGUACGCGGGCCUCUCACUGUUGUGGCCCCUCCUGUUGUGGAGCACAGGCUCCGGACGCGUAGGCUCAGCGGCCAUGGCUCACGAGCCCAGCCUCUCCGCGGCAUGUGGGAUCUUCCCGGACCGGGGCACGAACCCGUGUCCCCUGCAUCGGCAGGCGGACUCUCAACCACUGCGCCACCAGGGAAGCCCAAUAUGACUAGUCUUUUAACUCCUCUUGCUACGUCUCUGGGUUAUGUUGAAGGUGUUUGUGGUUCUAGAAUAGAGUAAUGCUUAAGAGCCAGGUUCCAGGGAUCAGGCUUUUAUAGGUUCCAUUCCUAAAUCCACCACUUAUUUUAGCUGUGUGAACUUGAACUCUCUCGGCUUCACGGGGAUACUAACAGCAUUAAGCAUUAAGUCCUAUGGCUUUUGAGAGAAUUAAUUAAGAUAAUAUAUGUAAAACACCACUAUGUCAGGUACACAGUAGUUAGUCAAGGGGAGCUGUUUUAUUAUUACUGUUUAUUAUUGUUUAAUGUUCAUUUUAAAAGUACAGUUGAAUUCUCUAGUAAAAGUUACUGUGCACUUUCUUCGGGUAUGCUCACCUGAAUAAUUUAAAUUUUUCUUUCAUAAGGAGAUGAGGAAAAGGGCAUCACUUAUGAUCUGAUCUAUUUAGACUUGUUAAACGUCAAUAUUUUAAAUGAUCCCUAUGGUUUUCUAAGAUCAGUUUUCUGUUUCUAAAAUUUUAUUUAUUUAUUUAUUUGGCUGCAUUGGGUCUUUUUGUUGCUGCGCGCGGGCUUUCUCUGGUCGCGGCGAGUGGGGGCUACUCUUCGUUGCGGUGCGCAGGCUUCUCAUUGCGGUGGCUUCUCUUGUUGCACAGCAUGGGCGCUAGGCACGCGGGCACAAGGGCUUAGUUGCCCCGCUUCAUGUGGGAUCUUCCCGGACCAGGGAUGGAACCUGUGUCCCCUGCAUUGGCAGGUGUAUUCUUUUUUUUUGGCAGGCGGAUUCUUAACGACUGUGCCACCAGGGAAGUCCCUAAGAUCAGUUUUCAUAAUCAAUGUGAUUACUAUACCUGUAUUGAUUAAUAAUGAGUGUAUGAACUGUUCAGAAUUCAUAGUCAAUCUAUACUUGUUUUGGCUAUGCCACAGACUGUUUGUUUUUGCAUAUAGAAUUUUGCAUAUAGUCUCAAAUUAAGCUGUGGACCCUCAUACACCCUAAUCCUCAUCAGACACCCAUGCUAUGUGGUUUGAAUAUUGCCAGUUUCCAUGGGAAAGGAACAUCAGAUUAAAUUCUGUGUGUUAUGGACAAGAAAAAUAUCAAUGAAAUAGCUUUAUCCUAUAGCACUGUAUGGCCAUUUCCAAGAGAGACUCCUUCCAUGUUUCCAUGCCAGUGUAGGGAGGAAUGAAUGAGUGCACACACAUGUAUAUACACACACACACGCACACACUUAAACUUCUUUUUAAUAAAAUAAAUUAAGAGAGUAGUAUUUACAUCCUUCUAGCACUGUUUCCUCUGAAUUCUGAAGAAACAGCUUGGGGAAAACCCUUGCUGUCUUUUGCCAAUAGAGUUGUUACACUGAAAUCUGAACCGGCUUUUCAGCUGGAUUUGGUCAUGUGAGUCAAAGCAGAGCUUGUGCUGUUAUGUGUGUCCCUGCCUCUCUCCACUCCCCCACAUUAGUUGAGCCUCACUGCUCUUCCCCAUAAUCCUCCCAGCCCCACUCUCCAGGUUUGCUAAGCCUCACUGCUCCAACAAGUAAUGCACUUCUGACACAAUGGGGGACAGCAGGGGCAGUGUGGGGGAAAUCAGAUAAUGCAGACACCAGCUUGACACUCUUGCUUCCCUUUGAGUGCCACAUUAUAAACUGGCCAAGUGAAACAUGAAGGUAUUAUCCCGUCUUAUCUGGUGGUUGAAAGGGGUGCAGCCUCCUUAAUGGUAAGGUUUUGGGCUUGUUGCCAAAGGAUUCUCACUUUCGCUGCUUCCCAUGUUCACCCAGAGUGCUCUCUCCUCCCCUCUGUUAGCUGUUUUGACUUGAACAUGCUCCCGGAUGAGAGAGGAUAACCUGUCAGGACCAGGUGUUGUCUCUGCCACACAAGUUUUAUGAAGAACGGGUCAAUUCCAAAGCCAAUUUAGAAAUGUGUACAACUGGAGGGAGAGUUUAGGGACUCCAGGAUACCUUACAGAUAACCUAGAUUUCAUAGAGUUUCCCACACUCAUGCACCUCCCCUGGACUGGCUUGAGUCUUCUGCCAGGGAAACCUGUCAUUCUUGGAUCACUAUCUUCCUAUCUCAGAGAAGAGCAUGUAAACACACACACACACACACACACACACACACACACACACACACACACACACACACACACACACACAUUGUUCAGAGUGAGAAUCUACAUGAAAUGGCUCCGGGGUUGUUUUUUUUCAGCAAGCUUCACAAGUGAAUCUGAUGCCUAAUCUGUACUUUGAGAAAGAAUGCCCACAGCAUUCCUAUAGUCCCAUCUAGAGACAAACUCAAGGGCUAACUUUUUAAAUUUAUGAGCCAUUCUGAUACAGCAAAACACGCUGAAGCUCAAAGUUCCUCUUAUUGCUGACAGUAAUCAAUAAUAAAAUGUAUAGCACUACUUUUGAAAAAAUGUCCGAAACAGGCGCCUAGUUUUCAUUAACUGUUAUGAGUAAAUGGCUUAAUAUGCCAGCGCCAAAAGCACAGCCUUCCGACAGCAUAAUUAAUUCUACAAAGACCAGCACACAGACCAUCAUCCAGUUGUUGUUUGUGUGACCCUGAAGAAAAUUAUUUAAGGUAUCUGAAGUUUGGUCUCAUUAUGGGUAAAAUGUGUUCUCUAUUUAUCUCAUAAAAUUUUCGAAGGAUUACAGAUAAGUAAAGACCCUUGCUUAACACGCAGUUCGUGGAGAGGAGCCACCAAUUCAGGGUGGCUCCCUUCCCUCCUGUUUCUGAGCCUUUCUUACAAACACCUAGACUUUGCUUUCCACCACGCCAGAGGCCUUAAUUUACCUGUUCGUCCACGAUGCUACAUGGCCACUCUAUUUAAGAGCUCAGGAAAGUAAGGCACACCAUCCUCGGAAAUCAAAGGCGUGUAUAGGUAAUAUUUCAUUAAAGCACGUAGAAGCCUGAUGUUGAAGGAGGCAAAGAUUCUCAUCUUCAUUUUACAGGCACUUGAAUUUUUUGAGGUUGUAUGCUUCUAAGAAAACAACCAAUCUGUGACCAAGAUGUAACUAAGACCCACAAUUUCUAAUUCCCAGGCUUUGACUCCAACCUCUGAAAAUGCUUCAAUUCAAUGAAGCUAAUGGCACUUUGGUCUCCGGCAUUAGAUCCUGUUAUCAAUGACUUCCACAUGGAAAGAUUAUUCCAAAAUGUGUGAUUAACCAAGAAAAUGCAAAUAAACCAAUUUGUACCUGCUAUUUAGAGAUUAUGCACAUUUACUAAAUUAAAAUGCUUUCUUGGGCUUCCCUAGUGGCGCCGUGGUUGAGGGUCUGCCUGCCAAUUCAGGGGACACGGGUUCAUGCCCCGGUCCGGGAAGAUCCCACAUGCCGCGGAGCGGCUGGGCCCGUGAGCCACGGCUACUGAGCCUGUGCGUCCAGAGCCUGUGCUCCACAACGGGAGAGGCCACAACAGUGAGAGGCCCGCGUACAGAAAAAAAAAAAAAAAAAGAUUUCUUUAUAGCUAAAAAGUUAUUAUGAUACAAACAUUUCUAUUUUUACAAUAAGAAGAGAUUAAAAGCAUUUUUCUUCUAACCUCAGCUUUUAGAAGGUCACUGCAUCCCUGUGACUCUAUAUCAUUUCACAUCUAAGUUAAGGUACUUUUUCUUCUUUGCUGUCAGGUAGUUAAAGAAAUAACCUAAACCAAAUAUAACUAAGUAAAGUAGCCUACCGAUGCCCCAGCCACAUGAGUCAUCUACAGUCAUCUCUCUUCCCAGUCCACGCAAGUCUUCCAUCCCUAAGAACUGUAUAUGCUGCCUCCUUAGUGUUCUUCAGACUGUCCACUUGUUUUCAUCUCCGCCACUACUAUGUUCAGUUCGCCACCAUUUUUCUCCUAGAUUAUUUCACAGCCUUUUAACUUGUCUGACAAAGUAAAAUCCUUCAGAGGCUUCCCAUACCCACUGUUCAGGGGAUAACGUCUCAACUCUUUAACACAGUUCAGGACAGCCUCAUCUUCUGGUGUCUACUUAAUUCUCCAGCCUUAUAUCUUCUAGCCUCCUUGUCACACUCUAUGCCCCGGCACAUGCAAACAGUAGCACCAGAAUCCCUAGAACAUGUCAUGUCCUCAUUCAACUCUUGGUCUUUGUACAUUCUAGUCUCUAUGCUUAGAAUGUUUUUUCUUUCUCCCUUUCCCAUCGUGCUUAACAAUAGCUGACAUCUGGUUAUAUCCUCCAGGUCGUAGUUGAGAUAGUUCUUUCUAUCAGGAGGCUUUCCUUGACCUCUUGGUCUGUGUAAUAUGCCCUUCCACUUGCAUCCAUGGCAUCCUGUUAUAAGCACUUUUGUGUAUUAUGCUAUCAGAAAAUAUGCUACGAUAAUAUGUGGUAUGGAAUACAGUAUAAUGUAUUUUAUUGUAACUAUUUUUUCUUUGUAUGUUUGUUAACUUGUUCAUAAUUGUUUAUUUGUUUGUUAUUUGGUUCUCCCUGACUAGACUGUAAGCUCCUUGAGGAGAAGUGCUCUACUUAUUUACUUCAACAGUCUCAAUGCCUAGCACAGUGCCUGAUAUAUACUAGGGGCUCAAUCAUAUCAUUACAUGAUUAAAUGGACAAAUGAAUGAGAACAUCUCAAAGCCAGAUAAAAAUGGCUCUUGGGUUACCAACUAGACCCUGAGUUAACGCAGAUGGAAAGCAGCCACUAUUCCACUAUCAGCAUGGAUGGACGAGCACACUCUUUUUAAAUAAGACAUAGUGAAUAACAUGGAAAGCAGAGGUUUGUUUAAGAAAUGAAAUAAAUGAAUGUUAACUGAUCAAAAAUGUCUAGCUAGCUUUAAAUAUAUCACUUGUUUUUAAUUAAACUGAAUACCUUUAUUUUAUCUUUACCAGAA
Orcinus orca (killer whale) is the source of this 5669-nucleotide long non-coding RNA. RefSeq lists it as uncharacterized. The transcript is spliced from 7 exons. The record is from RefSeq and is a predicted model, not a curated record. Lineage: Eukaryota; Metazoa; Chordata; Mammalia; Artiodactyla; Delphinidae.